Molecule: ribosomal RNA, 301 nt
Filed under: uncultured bacterium
Lineage: Bacteria
Description: partial 16S ribosomal RNA
Rfam family: Bacterial small subunit ribosomal RNA
Source: RNAcentral
CAGUAGCCACGGUAACACGGAGGAUCCAAGCGUUAUCCGGAAUCAUUGGGUUUAAAGGGUCCGUAGGCGGUCUUGUAAGUCAGUGGUGAAAGCCCAUCGCUCAACGGUGGAACGGCCAUUGAUACUGCAGGACUUGAAUUAUUGGGAAGUAACUAGAAUAUGUAGUGUAGCGGUGAAAUGCUUAGAGAUUACAUGGAAUACCAAUUGCGAAGGCAGGUUACUACCAAUUGAUUGACGCUGAUGGACGAAAGCGUGGGUAGCGAACAGGAUUAGAUACCCCCGUAGUCCCUGUCUCUUAUCC